UACGAAGGGGGCUAGCGUUGCUCGGAAUCACUGGGCGUAAAGCGCACGUAGGCGGCUUGUUAAGUCAGGGGUGAAAUCCUGGAGCUCAACUCCAGAACUGCCUUUGAUACUGGCGAGCUUGAGUCCGGGAGAGGUGAGUGGAACUGCGAGUGUAGAGGUGAAAUUCGUAGAUAUUCGCAAGAGCACCAGUGGCGAAGGCGGCUCACUGGCCCGGUACUGACGCUGAGGUGCGAAAGCGCGGGGAGCAAACAGG
This 253-nucleotide ribosomal RNA is filed under the name uncultured bacterium. RNAcentral's name for it is "partial 16S ribosomal RNA". It matches the Rfam family "Bacterial small subunit ribosomal RNA", at positions 524 to 776 of the family's 1533-position model. The record is from RNAcentral.